CAAAGCUUUCAUUUUGUUGCAGAGUAUACCUUAACCUUUCAUUUUUGCGCCCACAGUCCCAAACCUUUCGCUUCAACGGCAACCGGAGUCCAAAUCAUAGAUUUCGUCUAGAAUGUUGUUAGCCAACACGGAAACUGGAAUUUUGACUCAAAUUGGCAAAUUAAUUUAAGGUUAAAAUGGUGAAUGAACAUUUUCUAUACUAACUUCAUCUUCUCUAGACAUCACAAACAACUUCAUCUUCUCCAAACAUCCACCCAUCCCAUCCCAACCUAAAACAAAAAAUCACCAAACCAAUCACCACCGACCACCUCCUCCAAUACACACGAUGCCACACCGCCCCCAAUACGCACAAUGCUACAUCGCCCACUGCAGCCAUCGUCAAUGCAAUCACCCACAAAGUUAAUUUUGUGUAUGUCUUAACAAUAUGCUUACUAGAGAGCAAUUAAUUUUUGCUCAAUUUUUUCCCCCACAAAACUCAGUUAUUUUGGUAAUUCAGCUCCGCCUAUGCUUUUGGUCUUAAAUUUUUUUCUCAAAGCUGAUGAGUAGCUGCCUGUUGACAAUACCACCUUUAGGAGAGCUAAUGGAGAAGUAGGCAAGGCAAGUUAGCUUCUUUUUCGAUAUGACCGAUUUAACCCCAUGAUUUGGGAUUGAAGGCAGAUCUUCCAACGAACACCCUUUCUUCGGCUUUGAUACAAUUCUUAAUUUCAUUUGGCAUUGGGUUCUUGGUGAGGUACGAUACAUUGCAGUGUGGUAGUGGCGAUGAUGGUCGGGCGGUACUGUAGUGGAGGCGAUGGGUUUGCAGCGGUCGGAGUGAUUGUGUUUGGUUUUUGUUUUUGUUUUUGAUUUUGGGGGUGGGGAGUGAGAUGUUUGGAGAAGAAGAAGUUGUUGGUGUUUUGUUGAUUUUUAUAUAAUUAUUUGAAUUGUUUUACUAUAGAAAAUGUUUAUUUACCAUUUUACCCCUCAUUUGAAUCAAAAUUCCAAUUUCGGUGUUGACUAACGAC
Molecule: long non-coding RNA, 1001 nt
Filed under: Olea europaea subsp. europaea
Lineage: Eukaryota; Viridiplantae; Streptophyta; Magnoliopsida; Lamiales; Oleaceae
Source: RNAcentral